Molecule: ribosomal RNA, 375 nt
Filed under: uncultured organism
Description: partial 16S ribosomal RNA
Rfam family: Bacterial small subunit ribosomal RNA
Source: RNAcentral
GUAGGUGGCAAGCGUUGUCCGGAAUUAUUGGGCGUAAAGCGCGCGCAGGCGGUUCUUUAAGUCUGAUGUGAAAGCCCACGGGCUCAACCGUGGGAGGGUCAUUGGAAACUGGAGAACUUGAGUACAGAAGAGGAAAGCGGAAUUCCACGUGUAGCGGUGAAAUGCGUAGAGAUGUGGAGGAACACCAGUGGCGAAGGCGGCUUUCUGGUCUGUAACUGACGCUGAGGCGCGAAAGCGUGGGGAGCAAACAGGAUUAGAUACCCUGGUAGUCCACGCCCGUAAACGAUGAGUGCUAAGUGUUAGGGGGUUUCCGCCCCUUAGUGCUGCAGCUAACGCAUUAAGCACUCCGCCUGGGGAGUACGGCCGCAAAGGCUG